RNAcentral lists this ribosomal RNA (978 nucleotides) under Triticum aestivum (bread wheat). Its description in RNAcentral is "partial small subunit ribosomal RNA". Lineage: Eukaryota; Viridiplantae; Streptophyta; Magnoliopsida; Poales; Poaceae. The record is from RNAcentral.
AUGGCUCAUGGCGACCAUCAAGACGAUGAUGAUGACUUCAUGGAUGCACCGCAACAGAAUCGCGCGACUAGACGGGCAAAAGAUGGCGAAGAGAAGAAGAAACAUCGUCGCAAUAGGGCUUUGCAAGAACGCCUGGCCAUUUUUAAUGAAGGAUUUACUGAUGAGCAGAAGGGAGCUGCCGAUGCCAUGGGGAUGCAGGCUCUGAUGGAUGUUCGCUGCAAGAACUUAGUGAACCCUGUAUGCGACUGGCUUGGUGAGAUUUAUGAUCCUGCCUCCAGAGAAUUUGUGAUUCCGGGACGGGGAAGACUGCCUUUGGAUGAGGAUUCGGUGUUCUGCACUUUGGGUGUGCCCCGUGGAGAAAUCAAAGUUCCGUAUGAGGUGGACAAUAAGAUUGAGGAAGCCAUGUUUCCCCGUUUGUUUCCUGGGAUGUCAACCCUGUCGAAUAUGACUGCACUGGCAACUUUGCUGGAGGGCAUGACAACCCAUGGCGAGCUCAUGUAUGUCGAUGCUCUUGAUCUGUCCACCGUUGACUUUACCGAGAUAGGAGGCCCGCCGCCUGCACAUAAGUUUGUUGUCUCUGCGUGGACGGACGCUGCUGUCAAGGUUGUGCUUGCCGCAGACAAGAUAACCGAUACGAAAUAUGGAAAACUGCAGCUGAUGGCCAAGAAUGUUAUAAACUAUAGUGUGUUUGGUGGGCCACAAAACUUUGGCAAGUGGAUGGAUGUGCAUUCAGCUCCAUCUUGUCCUACUGAGGCGAGGGCACUUGUUGAGCAUCUAGUUGGGCAGUUUGCCUCCGGCAUGACCAGCUUGCUCGGGAAGUUGGUUGAGGGUUGGACGACCUUAAUGGCUCCGACAAUGAUGCGACUGCGAGUAAAUUCACAUCAUUCGUUGAAGAACGGACACGCCGACCAACUGGUUGUCAUGGCCGGUAUGACUACAACAGCUCACAGGAGCUUCCUGACACGCAAGAUGAUCUAG